RNAcentral lists this non-coding RNA (790 nucleotides) under Helotrephes sp. NKMT027. The record is from RNAcentral. Lineage: Eukaryota; Metazoa; Arthropoda; Insecta; Hemiptera; Helotrephidae.
CGAUAAAGAUUGUAAAACUUAAAGUUUGAUUCUUUCUUUAUUUUUUAUUUUUUUAUAGUUUUACAUGUAAAUUUUUGUGAAUUUUAAGUUAGGUCUUAAAGAUUUAAUUUGAUUAUUGGUUCAGUAUGUAAUUUUAAUUUAACUGAUUAUUCAGUUUUUAGUUAAUAAUUUAUAAGUGGCUAAUUUUGUGCCAGCAGUCGCGGUUAUACAUUAACUUAUAGUAAAAAUUUUCGGCUUUUAUUAAAUAUUUUAGUUUUUGAUUUUUUUUUAUUUAUUUUUGGGUGAAAUUUAAAAUAAUUAUUUUAAGAUUAGGUUUAUUAUUUAUAUUAAAAUUAUUAUAAAAACUAGGAUUAGAUACCCUAUUAUUUUAAUUGUGAAAAGUUGGCCUUAAUAUUAAUAGCUAUGUUCUUUAAACUAAAAGAAUUUGGCGGUAAUUUAAUCUAUUCAGAGGAACCUGUUCUGUAAAUGAUAAUCCACGUUUAGAAUUUCUUUAUUUAUACUUGUAUACCUCUGUCAUUGAAUGUUUUAUAAGAAUAUUUUCGUAAUUUUUUAUUAUAAAAAUGUUAGGUCAAGGUGCAGUUAUAAUAAAGUAGAAAUGGGUUACAUUAAAAUUAUUUAUGGUUAAUAUAUUUAAACUUAUAUUUAAAACUGGAUUUGAUAGUAAUUUUAUUUAAAUUUUUAUUAUGAUAUUGGCUCUAAAUUAUGCACAUAUCGCCCGUCACUCUCAUUAAUUAAAAUGAGAUAAGUCGUAACAAAGUAGGCCUAUCGGAAGAUGGGCCUAGAAUUAAUA